RNAcentral lists this ribosomal RNA (253 nucleotides) under uncultured bacterium. Its description in RNAcentral is "partial 16S ribosomal RNA". It matches the Rfam family "Bacterial small subunit ribosomal RNA", at positions 524 to 776 of the family's 1533-position model. The record is from RNAcentral.
UACAGAGGGUGCGAGCGUUAAUCGGAAUUACUGGGCGUAAAGCGUGCGUAGACGGUCAUGUAAGUCGGAUGUGAAAGCCCCGGGCUCAACCUGGGAAUUGCAUUCGAGACUGCAUGGCUUGGGUGCGGAAGAGGGAAGCGGAAUUUCCGGUGUAGCGGUGAAAUGCGUAGAUAUCGGAAGGAACACCAGUGGCGAAAGCGGCUUCCUGGUCCGACACCGACGUUCAGGCACGAAAGCGUGGGGAGCAAACAGG